Long non-coding RNA from Asparagus officinalis (garden asparagus), 1739 nucleotides. RefSeq lists it as uncharacterized. NCBI's taxonomy places the organism in Eukaryota, Viridiplantae, Streptophyta, Magnoliopsida, Asparagales, Asparagaceae. The record is from RefSeq and is a predicted model, not a curated record. The transcript has 2 exons.
CUGCAUUUGAAUUGCUAGGGUUAGGGUUUUUAGGGUUUCUCUUCAUCAAUAAUAGGAACAGAGAGGUGAAAGCGAAGUAAUUGAAAUACAAUCGGUCAGAUUCUCUAUACCAUUCAUAUUUUGUAAAUUCUGUAAAAUUCCCACAAAUUAUUGUAUAUUUCUACAAGUUCUGGUGAUCAAUUUCAUGAUAGGUAGCUCUUAGAUCAUCAUCGCCUUCGCAUUGAGUUGAUGAUUGAAUACAUAGAUUUUGAGGUUGGCCCAAGAUUUGAGCAGCAAUUGCUUAUGGAAAAAGAGGAAUCUUGAGGUCGGAAUGUAUCAUGAUUGAGAAGAAGGAAACUUUGAGGGGUUAUUUGUAUGAUUUAGCACUGAGAUGACGGGUGCCGUUCUUAGCAGGAGCCAAUCAGCUCGUCUUAGAACUCAGACCAGUAGUAGCCCUAGGUCUUCGUCGUUAAGAGGAAGAGGUGUGCUCCUGGAUCUUUCUCGACUACUCUCCCUGUAAUCAUAGUCUUGAUAAGCCUCGUUCUAGUGCUCGGAUCUUUUUCUUAUACAUACUAUGUUUGAUAUUUUAGCCAUGGGAAUUUGGCUGCCGAGUUUAUCGACUGGAAUGAGAAAUGUGAUGUCUUUGAGGGAUGCUGGGUGAAAGAUGAGAGUUACCCUCUUUAUAAUAGCUCUCAGUGCCCCUUCGUCGAGAGGGGUUUUAACUGUUUGGCCAAUGGGAGGAAGGAUACCGAGUAUCAGAAAUGGAGAUGGAAGCCUAAGAAUUGUGAUGUGCCCAACUUUAAUGCUAUUGAGAUCUUGGAAGGGUUGAGAGGGAAAAGGGUAGUUUUGGUAGGGGACUCAGAUGAGUAGGACGCAAUGGGAGUCUUUGAUCUGUAUGCUUAUGACUGGUGUGAAGGAUCCCAAGAGUGUUUAUGAGGUUAACGGGAAUAAAAUUUCGAAGACUAUUCUGUUUUUGGCUGUUCGGUUUGAGUCUUUUGCUCUUAGAGUGGAGUUUUUCCGAUUGUUUUCCUUGUGCAGCGGCAUGGGCACUGAAGCAUGUCCCAGCAAGGGUUCGGUUCGUGCUCAUGCUGGACAACAUGGAUCAUGCAAAUAGGAGAUGGGUUGAUGUUGAUGUCUUAAUUUUCAAUUCUGGCCACUGGUGGACAUGGACAAAACUAAUCGAUUCCGAAUUGAACCCGAAAGUGUGUGAAAUGACGGAACAACGUAUGCCAGACGCCCGAGGGAAUUAUAGAAGCGAGUUUGCGACAUCAUAUCGGAGGUGGUUACAAAGAUGAGAGUUCCUGCUAUUGUCCUGAAUGUGACUUCCAUGGGGGCAGUCAGGAGUGAUGCCCAUGUAGGAAAUUGGAGCUAUCUUGUGGCCAGUUUUGAUUGCUGCCAUUGGUGCCUCCCUGGAGUUCCUGAUACUUGGAAUGAGCUUUUAUUAUCUUCCUUUAUGACUGACGGUGAGGAUUCAUUCUGAAAAUCCUUUAUUAGUUGACGUUGUAUAUCAAUUCCUUUAUCUUUGCAUGGGGUUAGUUGUAGACACACCCAUUGUACUAUGAGGGCGUAACUCCUUAUACCCCCUGAGUUCUAGACAGCAUUAUUUCUCCCUUGGGGUCGGGAUGUCAUGUGGGAGUCAUGUGAUAGCAAAAUACCUUGCUCUCAAUUUAACUGGAAAAAAGACUGAACUGCCCGCUAAUUUUGGGCAAAAAUUAUCCCUACUACCGUAGGUGAUAAUAUAACAGUUUUGUUUUUUUUUA